Molecule: ribosomal RNA, 472 nt
Filed under: uncultured bacterium
Lineage: Bacteria
Description: bacterial SSU rRNA
Rfam family: Bacterial small subunit ribosomal RNA
Source: RNAcentral
AACGAACGCUGGCGGCAGGCCUAACACAUGCAAGUCGAACGCACCGCAAGGUGAGUGGCGCACGGGUGAGUAACACGUGGGAAUGUACCCUUUGGUUCGGAAUAACGUUUGGAAACGAACGCUAAUACCGGAUGAGCCCUGCGGGGGAAAGAUUUAUCGCCAAAGGAGCAGCCCGCGUCUGAUUAGCUAGUUGGUGGGGUAAAGGCCUACCAAGGCGACGAUCAGUAGCUGGUCUGAGAGGAUGAUCAGCCACACUGGGACUGAGACACGGCCCAGACUCCUACGGGAGGCAGCAGUGGGGAAUAUUGGACAAUGGGGGGCAACCCUGAUCCAGCAAUGCCGCGUGUGUGAAGAAGGCCUUCGGGUUGUAAGCACUUUGUUCAGGAACGAAACGGUUAGAGGUUAAUACCCUUGGCUAAUGACGGUACCUGAAGAAUAAGACACCGGCUAACUACGUGCCAGCAGCCGCGGU